UUAACCUGGGAAUGGCAUUUUGAACUGGCAGUCUAGAGUGCGUCAGAGGGGGGUGGAAUUCCACGUGUAGCAGUGAAAUGCGUAGAUAUGUGGAGGAACACCAAUGGCGAAGGCAGCCCCCUGGGAUGACACUGACGCUCAUGUACGAAAGCGUGGGUAGCAAACAGGAUUAGAUACCCUGGUAGUCCACGCCCUAAACGAUGUCAACUGGUUGUUGGGAGAGUGAAAUCUCUUAGUAACGAAGCUAACGCGUGAAGUUGACCGCCUGGGGAGUACGGUCGCAAGAUUAAAACUCAAAGGAAUUGACGGGGACCCGCACAAGCGGUGGAUGAUGUGGAUUAAUUCGAUGCAACGCGAAAAACCUUACCUACCCUUGACAUGUCCGGAAUCCUGCAGAGAUGCGGGAGUGCCCGAAAGGGAAUCGGAACACAGGUGCUGCAUGGCUGUCGUCAGCUCGUGUCGUGAGAUGUUGGGUUAAGUCCCGCAACGAGCGCAACCCUUAUCAUUAGUUGCUACGCAAGGGCACUCUAAUGAGACUGCCGGUGACAAACCGGAGGAAGGUGGGGAUGACGUCAAGUCCUCAUGGCCCUUAUGGGUAGGGCUUCACACGUCAUACAAUGGUCGGUACAGAGGGUUGCCAAGCCGCGAGGUGGAGCCAAUCCCAGAAAGCCGAUCGUAGUCCGGAUUGUUCUCUGCAACUCGAGAGCAUGAAGUCGGAAUCGCUAGUAAUCGCGGAUCAGCAUGUCGCGGUGAAUACGUUCCCGGGUCUUGUACACACCGCCCGUCACACCAUGGGAGUGGAAUCUGCCAGAAGUAGGUAGCCUAACCGCAAGGAGGGCGCUUACCACGGUGGGUUUCAUGACUGGGGUGAAGUCGUAACAAGGGUAAC
This 889-nucleotide ribosomal RNA is filed under the name uncultured bacterium. Its description in RNAcentral is "bacterial SSU rRNA". It matches the Rfam family "Bacterial small subunit ribosomal RNA", at positions 609 to 1501 of the family's 1533-position model. The record is from RNAcentral.